RNAcentral lists this ribosomal RNA (25 nucleotides) under Ammonia sp. AmmW10. RNAcentral describes it as "partial 28S ribosomal RNA". Lineage: Eukaryota; Foraminifera; Rotaliida; Rotaliidae. The record is from RNAcentral.
GAGUCGAGUUAUUUGGGACUAUAGC